GAAUCUAAACCCCUUCCAGAGUAUCAAUUGGAGGGCAAGUCUGGUGCCAGCAGCCGCGGUAAUUCCAGCUCCAAUAGCGUAUAUUAAACUUGUUGCAGUUAAAAAGCUCGUAGUUGAAUUUCUGCUGUUUCGUUGACUGCGUUUGGCGUUUGUCAUCGUUGCGGCUUGGUUGGGUUUCGAUUAUUCGUUUCCCGGCGUUUACUUUGAGAAAAUUAGAGUGCUUGAAGCAGGCUUUUGCCUUGAAUACUUUAGCAUGGAAUAACGGAGUAGGACUUUGGUUCUAUUUUGUUGGUUUUAGGAGCCAGAGUAAUGGUUAAUAGGAACAGUUGGGGGCAUUCGUAUUUGACUGUCAGAGGUGAAAUUCUUAGAUUUGUCAAAGACGAACUACUGCGAAAGCAUUUGCCAAGGAUGUUUUCAUUAAUCAAGAACGAAAGUUAGGGGAUCGAAGACGAUCAGAUACCGU
RNAcentral lists this ribosomal RNA (463 nucleotides) under Theileria equi. RNAcentral's name for it is "SSU rRNA". It matches the Rfam family "Eukaryotic small subunit ribosomal RNA", at positions 521 to 1018 of the family's 1831-position model. Lineage: Eukaryota; Apicomplexa; Aconoidasida; Piroplasmida; Theileriidae. The record is from RNAcentral.